AGGGUUUGAUUCUGGCUCAGGAUGAACGCUAGCUACAGGCUUAACACAUGCAAGUCGAGGGGCAGCAUGGACCCAGUUUUGCUGGGUUUGAUGGCGACCGGCGCACGGGUGAGUAACGCGUAUCCAACCUGCCCUUUACUCCGGGAUAGUCUCCUGAAAGGGAGUUUAAUACCGGAUGUGUUUGUCUUUCCGCAUGGGAGCGACAAAUAAAGAUUGAUUGGUAAAGGAUGGGGAUGCGUCCCAUUAGCUUGUUGGCGGGGUAACGGCCCACCAAGGCGACGAUGGGUAGGGGUUCUGAGAGGAAGGUCCCCCACAUUGGAACUGAGACACGGUCCAA
Molecule: ribosomal RNA, 337 nt
Filed under: uncultured bacterium
Lineage: Bacteria
Description: bacterial SSU rRNA
Rfam family: Bacterial small subunit ribosomal RNA
Source: RNAcentral